Molecule: small RNA, 356 nt
Filed under: Mus caroli (Ryukyu mouse)
Lineage: Eukaryota; Metazoa; Chordata; Mammalia; Rodentia; Muridae
Description: sRNA (MGP_CAROLIEiJ_G0008825.1)
Source: RNAcentral
CCUGCUGUUUAAACAUUAAGAUGGUUCCCUUAAAGUCGUCAACCUGCAGGCCAAGGCGAACUUUAAAAAAAAAAAAAAAAAACCAGGUCAUGCUGCAUGUUUUUGGUGAGCACAGGAAUCAACAAAGCGCUGUUACAUAACUUCUAUUUAUGUCCUCCUUGCUCACUAUCUGCAGGCAGGCAAGAGUCGCAGAGCUGGGAUUUAAUGAGCUCUGGGUUUGCUCACCUUCCUGAGCUGGUAGGAGCCAGCUUGUUCUCAAAAUGCGUCAGUAAAGAAUCAGGCUGUGGGUGGGCGGCCAGGGGUAGUAGGUGGGCAGCAUUGUUGCCAUGGUGUUUUUUAAUUCCCCUGUCUCUCAA